Molecule: long non-coding RNA, 256 nt
Filed under: Mytilus galloprovincialis (Mediterranean mussel)
Lineage: Eukaryota; Metazoa; Mollusca; Bivalvia; Mytilida; Mytilidae
Source: RNAcentral
AAAAGGACAAUGCGGAUAAUUGCAAUUGUUAAUUUGUUACUUUUAUCAACUUUCUUAUGUGUCAAGACGGAUUCCGCUGUGGCCUUGUCUUAUGUGUGUACAUUUAAUACACAUUGCCGCUGCUAUAAUGAAGUAGGAACAGAAAACUUACAUGUGGAUUGCGCAAACGGUAAAAUAUCGAAAAUUCCAAAAUUUCCACCGAAUACUUACAUUUUAAAUCUGCAAAAUAACCGUAUACGCGUAAUAAGCGAUAACG